CACGUGGGUAACCUGCCCAUCAGAAGGGGAUAACACUUGGAAACAGGUGCUAAUACCGUAUAACAAUCAAAACCGCAUGGUUUUGAUUUGAAAGGCGCUUUCGGGUGUCGCUGAUGGAUGGACCCGCGGUGCAUUAGCUAGUUGGUGAGGUAACGGCUCACCAAGGCCACGAUGCAUAGCCGACCUGAGAGGGUGAUCGGCCACAUUGGGACUGAGACACGGCCCAAACUCCUACGGGAGGCAGCAGUAGGGAAUCUUCGGCAAUGGACGAAAGUCUGACCGAGCAACGCCGCGUGAGUGAAGAAGGUUUUCGGAUCGUAAAACUCUGUUGUUAGAGAAGAACAAGGAUGAGAGUAACUGUUCAUCCCUUGACGGUAUCUAACCAGAAAGCCACGGCUAACUACGUGCCAGCAGCCGCGGUAAUACGUAGGUGGCAAGCGUUGUCCGGAUUUAUUGGGCGUAAAGCGAGCGCAGGCGGUUUCUUAAGUCUGAUGUGAAAGCCCCCGGCUCAACCGGGGAGGGUCAUUGGAAACUGGGAGACUUGAGUGCAGAAGAGGAGAGUGGAAUUCCAUGUGUAGCGGUGAAAUGCGUAGAUAUAUGGAGGAACACCAGUGGCGAAGGCGGCUCUCUGGUCUGUAACUGACGCUGAGGCUCGAAAGCGUGGGGAGCAAACAGGAUUAGAUACCCUGGUAGUCCACGCCGUAAACGA
This 709-nucleotide ribosomal RNA is filed under the name Enterococcus faecium. Its description in RNAcentral is "bacterial SSU rRNA". It matches the Rfam family "Bacterial small subunit ribosomal RNA", at positions 114 to 809 of the family's 1533-position model. The record is from RNAcentral. Lineage: Bacteria; Bacillati; Bacillota; Bacilli; Lactobacillales; Enterococcaceae.